GGAUGAAGACUGGAUGAUUUUAGGACUUGAACGGUUGGCUUAUAUACCCGAGUGAAACUAGGAAAAACAAAUUGGGGAGGAAGGAAAGAAAAAAAAAAUGAUGCUGAUUGGCUUCAGCCCAUAACGCUCUUACCGAUAUACCUGCCCGCCCAACUGCUCCGCCCCGUGAACAUGGUGCUCGUGUCUUCAUACCUAGCCAUAGCCGCAGGAUGGAGGUGCCCUCACUGUUUUGUUUUUAUAGCUUUGAAGCAAAAAAGUGUACCAAUGUCCUUGCUAAUACCUUUUGACGCCCAGAAAAGUGAAUCGCGAAUACGCUAAUCCGCAAAUCAGCACGCACCGAAUAGAACAGAGAGAAACAAAAAAACAUGACAUUGGGCCUACAUAAACGCCUGGAGUUCAUAAUCCAGGUCGAAGACCUCAAAUUGGGACUAGGUAAACUUGUAUGAGGAACAGUAAAAUUCUUAAGAAAUAGCAGGUGGCUCUAAAUUAGCCAUAUGUUUUGGCAGACGAGCUAAUAGAAAAGGAAACAAAGCGGUUCCACCCUAUGCCUUAAGAGUAUUUCCUAUCAGUGUUGGAGAAACGGAAUGAAAUGAGAACAGCCAUCGUUCAUAUCAAGACGUGGCCUAUAGUAACGCAAGUUUAUACGUAUCCAACAGGCAACAGGAGCAAAAGGUUGGUCUCAUUCUUAACUCCAAAUUAUAACAGAAGUGAUGGCCGAAUAGAAAUUGUGUCGAAUAAGCGGUUGCUCUAGGCUUGGUUGUAAAUGAUGUCAUUUAAUAACGACAUCCUUUUUCCUGGAACCAAGUUAUACCUUGACUCUUUCCCCAACGAUUCCGGUUUAGCUGAAUCGUUCAACCCAGAUUCAAAAUUUAGACGUUUAUCGGUGAACGAAUCGGCACGGAUAUAAAACCAUAAAAAAGAAAUCGUUCAAACGUGAUUUUAAUUUUUUUAAAUUAUUUUAUAUUUCAUGAUCGCAGGAAAUACAAAACUUUUUUGGCAACAAGCCGCGGAGUCCAGCCGCAUUUGUUGUCAUCAAAUACAUAUAUUAUAAUUGUUUUUUCUUUUUCUUUCUCAGGUGAUGGUGAGUCUUGAG
Molecule: long non-coding RNA, 1093 nt
Organism: Daphnia magna
Lineage: Eukaryota; Metazoa; Arthropoda; Branchiopoda; Diplostraca; Daphniidae
Exons: 3
Source: RefSeq, a predicted model, not a curated record